UGGUUUGCGUGUGUUGUCAUUGGUCGCGUCGUAUGUCGUCAUCGGUCAUUACCAUCUAGGAGGAGCCAUGGGAAUCGGUAAACCGGAUUAAAACAAACAUUUGAACGGUUGCCUCGGCUUGCCACCGCUGUGAGAAAACUUACUUACUGAAGAAGUCUGGCUGCUAAAACAGGCUUUGGAGCUGCUUUUUGUCGAACGCAAUUGAGGCUGGACGCUGAAUACACACCAUUGGCACGAAGGUCUACUCGUUCAGCUGCAGCAGCUUGGACAGAGACUCUCAACAUAACCUUACAGACCAACAGGUGUCACCACUUUGUCCAUGAUCAGAGAGUCUUCGUACAACAAAGAAGUUCUUGGAGACCAGGACUGAGGCCUCCAGGAGGAGAAGACGACAGCAGCUGAAGACCUGAAGUGGAUGAAAGAAACACAAGUCAAGUGUUACAAAGCUAUUAAUUAGAUAAAGACCUCCACCAUCUAUAAUGUAGUUGUGGGGACAUUUUUCAAAGACUAAUAUGUCUUUAUUAAACACCUGUGAGAACAUCCAACUGCUUAUGAUACAACUAUUUAAUUAUUGUAUUGUAUUGUUCAUAACUACAUUAAUCCUAACCAGCUCUAACAAGUGUUUCCUUGUGGCCAAAUGUCAUUACUUUAAAUUUUUGAGUUGAAUUUCUCUAUUUUGAAACUAAUGUUAUACAAAUCAUUUUAUUGCAUUCUAUUUUAAGAGAAAUGUCUUGAUUUUCAUUUCAUUUUGGAAGUAUAUUUUCUAAGGUUUUAUAUUUAACUUUUUGUGGGUUUGAUACUUACUGUUUAGACAUUUAGGUUCUAUUUUUUUUUUUUUAAACAGGUUUCAUGCUAAAUGCUUACACAUUUUUUAAGGUUUGAAAUAUAUUUAAUUUAUUUUAUACUUUUUAGACCUAUGUAUUUAAGGUUUUAAGUGUAUUUUUUAAAGGUUUUACAUUUAAUUUUAUAGGUUUUAGUUUUUGAAAGACAUACUAAAUAUUUAAAUUAAGUUUUCAGUUUAUCUAUUAAAGGUUUCCUAAUUCAUU
Lates calcarifer (barramundi perch) is the source of this 1046-nucleotide long non-coding RNA. RefSeq lists it as uncharacterized. NCBI's taxonomy places the organism in Eukaryota, Metazoa, Chordata, Actinopteri, Centropomidae. The record is from RefSeq and is a predicted model, not a curated record. The transcript is spliced from 4 exons.